AGAGUUUGAUCAUGGCUCAGAACGAACGNNGCGGCGUGCUUAAUACAUGCAAGUCGAACGUGAAUCCCGACUUCGGUUGGGAUGAAAGUGGCGAACGGGUGAGUAACACGUAAGUAAUCUGCCUUCAAGUUUGGGAUAACCCUGCCAACGCGGGGCUAAUACCGGAUGUGGUCCAGCUGACACAUGUUGGCUGGAUUAAAGGUCGCGAGGCCGCUUGGAGAUGAGCUUGCGGCCCAUUAGUUAGUUGGUGAGGUAACGGCCCACCAAGACGAAGAUGGGUAGCCGGCCUGAGAGGGUGUACGGCCACAUUGGGACUGAGAUACGGCCCAGACUCCUACGGGAGGCAGCAGUAGGGAAUUUUGCGCAAUGGACGGAAGUCUGACGCAGCAACGCCGCGUGAAGGAUGACGGCCUUCGGGUUGUAAACUUCUGUUGGAUGGGAAAAAAAGCCUAGGAAUAGGAAUUGAUGGUACCAUUCGAGUAAGCACCGGCUAACUACGUGCCAGCAGCCGCGGUAAU
RNAcentral lists this ribosomal RNA (518 nucleotides) under uncultured bacterium. RNAcentral's name for it is "bacterial SSU rRNA". It matches the Rfam family "Bacterial small subunit ribosomal RNA", at positions 8 to 524 of the family's 1533-position model. The record is from RNAcentral.